UACGUAAGUGGCAAGCGUUGUCCGGAAUUAUUGGGCGUAAAGCGCGCGCAGGCGGUUCUUUAAGUCUGAUGUGAAAGCCCACGGCUCAACCGUGGAGGGUCAUUGGAAACUGGAGAACUUGAGUACAGAAGAGGAAAGCGGAAUUCCACGUGUAGCGGUGAAAUGCGUAGAGAUGUGGAGGAACACCAGUGGCGAAGGCGGCUUUCUGGUCUGUAACUGACGCUGAGGCGCGAAAGCGUGGGGAGCAAACAGG
This 253-nucleotide ribosomal RNA is filed under the name uncultured bacterium. Its description in RNAcentral is "partial 16S ribosomal RNA". It matches the Rfam family "Bacterial small subunit ribosomal RNA", at positions 524 to 776 of the family's 1533-position model. The record is from RNAcentral.